UUAAAGGGCUGCAGUAUAUUGACUGUACAAAGGUAGCAUAAUAAUUAGUCUUUUAAUUGAAGACUUGUAUGAAAGAUUUGAUGAGAUAUAAACUGUCUCUUUUUUAUAAUUUGAAUUUAAUUUUUUAGUAAAAAAGCUAAAAUUUAUUUAAAAGACGAGAAGACCCUAUAGAGUUUUAUAAUUAAAUUAAUUAUGAAUUUAUAUUUAAUUUAAAAAUUAAUUAUUUUAAUUAUUUUAUUGGGGUGAUAAAAAAAUUAAUUUAACUUUUUUUUUAAAAUAAACAUUAAUUAAUGAAUAAAUGAUCCAUUUUUUAUGAUUAUAAGAAAAAAUUACCUUAGGGAUAACAGCGUAAUUUUUUUUUUUAGUUCUUAUAAAAAAAAAAGUUU
Molecule: ribosomal RNA, 386 nt
Filed under: Borbo cinnara (rice swift)
Lineage: Eukaryota; Metazoa; Arthropoda; Insecta; Lepidoptera; Hesperiidae
Description: partial 16S ribosomal RNA
Source: RNAcentral